GUUGCCGCCAUCUUCGUCCUGGAGAAACACUUUUUUGGGGGGAGCGCUGGAUUUUGCGUCAUCUCCUCCUGCGCCGAGGUCUCACCAUCCUGGCGCACUGGCGGCGGCCGGGCCCAGGGAGGAAGGCGAAGGCGCACGGGGCGGCGGGGGUGAGGGCCCACGCGGAGGCCCCCGCCCGGCUCCCGGCCGCGCUUGCCUUUCCUUUCCGUCCCCUCCCCACUUUUUAUUUUCUUUUGUCACUGAAGAAAGUCAGAAUGCAGAGUGCGCGGCCGAGGCUGCGGUCUGUCUCCAGCAUCGACCACCCUCUGCCUCUGAGAAAAGUCCGAGCUACGGACGGGAGGUUAGAGAUCCCUGCGGGGUCAGGGUCCGGGUGUUGUCAUCUCCACUAGGGAAUGGUCUCCUUCAAAUGGAUGGUUGGUAGAGGAGGGACGAAGCGACAUUUGCUGACUGUGAAUGUGCCUCGCGGUCCCUGGACAACCGAAGAUUAACAGCCCCCACUGCGAUAAAUAUUCUCCAUGGAUUUUAUUACAGGGAAGGGACGGUGUGUGUCUGUAUGUAUCUGUACAGAUGGUCACAUGUUGGCAGCCACAUAUGUACUGCAUAUAUAUAUAUAAUAGUUCCAUAUUGGCCCACGUUUUCCAGUUCCAAAGUAAACGAUUAGAAGUGGACUCGGAGACUUGGGAAAACGCAGAAAUACCUGCACCACCUGGACCCGGGCGGUCAACGUCUUAAUCUCCGAGGAUUCCUUCACCUGGGAGCAGCCCCUGCUCGGGCGGCCGCCCCCGCACCCCGCCCCCGUACGCCCAGCCCCCACGCAGUGGGCUCCUCCGCCGCCCAGGACUUCCGCAGCGGCGCGCGGGCUGCCGGCAGCAAGCACUGCAGUCC
RNAcentral lists this long non-coding RNA (885 nucleotides) under Marmota monax (woodchuck). Lineage: Eukaryota; Metazoa; Chordata; Mammalia; Rodentia; Sciuridae. The record is from RNAcentral.